Molecule: ribosomal RNA, 482 nt
Filed under: uncultured bacterium
Lineage: Bacteria
Description: partial 16S ribosomal RNA
Rfam family: Bacterial small subunit ribosomal RNA
Source: RNAcentral
AUUGAACGCUGGCGGCAGGCCUAACACAUGCAAGUCGAGCGGUGAAGGGAGCUUGCUCCUGGAUUCAGCGGCGGACGGGUGAGUAAUGCCUAGGAAUCUGCCUGGUAGUGGGGGAUAACGUCCGGAAACGGGCGCUAAUACCGCAUACGUCCUGAGGGAGAAAGUGGGGGAUCUUCGGACCUCACGCUAUCAGAUGAGCCUAGGUCGGAUUAGCUAGUUGGUGGGGUAAAGGCCUACCAAGGCGACGAUCCGUAACUGGUCUGAGAGGAUGAUCAGUCACACUGGAACUGAGACACGGUCCAGACUCCUACGGGAGGCAGCAGUGGGGAAUAUUGGACAAUGGGCGAAAGCCUGAUCCAGCCAUGCCGCGUGUGUGAAGAAGGUCUUCGGAUUGUAAAGCACUUUAAGUUGGGAGGAAGGGCAGUAAGUUAAUACCUUGCUGUUUUGACGUUACCAACAGAAUAAGCACCGGCUAACUUCGU